This 435-nucleotide ribosomal RNA is filed under the name uncultured bacterium. RNAcentral describes it as "partial 16S ribosomal RNA". It matches the Rfam family "Bacterial small subunit ribosomal RNA", at positions 29 to 507 of the family's 1533-position model. The record is from RNAcentral.
AACGAACGCUGGCGGCAUGCCUAACACAUGCAAGUCGAACGAUUGCCUUCGGGUGAUAGUGGCGCACGGGUGCGCAACGCGUGGGAAUCUGCCCGUAGGUUCGGAAUAACAGCUGGAAACGGCUGCUAAUACCGGAUGAUAUCGCGAGAUCAAAGAUUUAUCGCCUGAGGAUGAGCCCGCGUUGGAUUAGGUAGUUGGUGGGGUAAAGGCCUACCAAGCCGACGAUCCAUAGCUGGUCUGAGAGGAUGAUCCGCCACACUGGGACUGAGACACGGCCCAGAAUCUUACGGGAGGCAGCAGUGGGGAAUAUUGGACAAUGGGCGCAAGCCUGAUCCAGCAAUGCCGGGUGAGUGAUGAAGGCCCUAGGGUUGUAAAGCUCUUUUACCCGGGAAGAUAAUGACGGUACCGAGAGAAUAAGCCACGGCUAACUCCGUG